Molecule: ribosomal RNA, 497 nt
Filed under: uncultured bacterium
Lineage: Bacteria
Description: partial 16S ribosomal RNA
Rfam family: Bacterial small subunit ribosomal RNA
Source: RNAcentral
GACGAACGCUGGCGGCGUGCCUAAUACAUGCAAGUUGAGCGCUGAAGGUUGGUACUUGUACCGACUGGAUGAGCAGCGAACGGGUGAGUAACGCGUGGGGAAUCUGCCUUUGAGCGGGGGACAACAUUUGGAAACGAAUGCUAAUACCGCAUAAAAACUUUAAACACAAGUUUUAAGUUUGAAAGAUGCAAUUGCAUCACUCAAAGAUGAUCCCGCGUUGUAUUAGCUAGUUGGUGAGGUAAAGGCUCACCAAGGCGAUGAUACAUAGCCGACCUGAGAGGGUGGUCGGCCAAAUUGGGACUGAGACACGGCCCAAACUCCUACGGGAGGCAGCAGUAGGGAAUCUUCGGCAAUGGACGAAAGUCUGACCGAGCAACGCCGCGUGAGUGAAGAAGGUUUUCGGAUCGUAAAACUCUGUUGGUAGAGAAGAACGUUGGUGGGAGUGGAAAGCUCAUCAAGUGACGGUAACUACCCAGAAAGGGACGGCUAACUACGUG